RNAcentral lists this ribosomal RNA (460 nucleotides) under uncultured bacterium. RNAcentral's name for it is "partial 16S ribosomal RNA". It matches the Rfam family "Bacterial small subunit ribosomal RNA", at positions 338 to 795 of the family's 1533-position model. The record is from RNAcentral.
CCUACGGGGGGCAGCAGUAAGGGAUAUUGGUCAAUGGGGGAAACCCUGAACCAGCAACGCCGCGUGAGGGAAGACUGCCCUAUGGGUUGUAAACUUCUUUUAUAUGGGAAUAAAAUGUUCCACGUGUGGGAUUUUGUAUGUACCAUAUGAAUAAGGAUCGACUAACUCCGUGCCAGCAGCCGCGGUAAUACGGAGGAUCCGAGCGUUAUCCGGAUUUAUUGGGUUUAAAGGGAGCGUAGGUGGAUUGUUAAGUCAGUUGUGAAAGUUUGCGGCUCAACCGUAAAAUUGCAGUUGAAACUGGCAGUCUUGAGUACAGUAGAGGUGGGCGGAAUUCGUGGUGUAGCGGUGAAAUGCUUAGAUAUCACGAAGAACUCCGAUUGCGAAGGCAGUUCACUGGACUGCAACUGACACUGAGGCUCGAAAGUGUGGGUAUCAAACAGGAUUAGAUACCCUGGUAGUC